CCUACGGGGGGCAGCAGUGGGGAAUAUUGCACAAUGGGGGAAACCCUGAUGCAGCCAUGCCGCGUGUGUGAAGAAGGCCUUCGGGUUGUAAAGCACUUUCAGUCAGGAGGAAGGGCAAUGAGUUAAUACCUCAUUGCAUUGACGUUACUGACAGAAGAAGCACCGGCUAACUCCGUGCCAGCAGCCGCGGUAAUACGGAGGGUGCGAGCGUUAAUCGGAAUUACUGGGCGUAAAGCGUGCGCAGGCGGUUUGUUAAGCGAGAUGUGAAAGCCCCGGGCUCAACCUGGGAUGGUCAUUUCGAACUGGCAAGCUAGAGUCUCGUAGAGGGGGGUAGAAUUCCAGGUGUAGCGGUGAAAUGCGUAGAGAUCUGGAGGAAUACCGGUGGCGAAGGCGGCCCCCUGGACGAAGACUGACGCUCAGGCACGAAAGCGUGGGGAGCAAACAGGAUUAGAUACCCUAGUAGUC
RNAcentral lists this ribosomal RNA (465 nucleotides) under uncultured Gammaproteobacteria bacterium. RNAcentral's name for it is "bacterial SSU rRNA". It matches the Rfam family "Bacterial small subunit ribosomal RNA", at positions 338 to 795 of the family's 1533-position model. The record is from RNAcentral. Lineage: Bacteria; Pseudomonadati; Pseudomonadota; Gammaproteobacteria.